Molecule: transfer RNA, 81 nt
Filed under: Hypoxylon fuscum
Lineage: Eukaryota; Fungi; Ascomycota; Sordariomycetes; Xylariales; Hypoxylaceae
Description: tRNA-Gly
Source: RNAcentral
GCAUCAGUGGUUUAGUGGUAAAAUCCAUCGUUGCCAUCAGCAAUCAUCGAUGGGCCCCGCGUUCGAUUCGCGGCUGAUGCA